GCCGAAGUGGCGGAACUGGCAGACGCACCAGACUCAAAAUCUGGCGUGGUUACCCACGUGCGAGUUCGAGUCUCGCCUUCGGCA
Molecule: transfer RNA, 84 nt
Filed under: Carboxydocella thermautotrophica
Lineage: Bacteria; Bacillati; Bacillota; Clostridia; Eubacteriales; Clostridiales Family XVI. Incertae Sedis
Description: tRNA-Leu
Rfam family: tRNA
About the family: Transfer RNA (tRNA) molecules are approximately 80 nucleotides in length. Their secondary structure includes four short double-helical elements and three loops (D, anti-codon, and T loops).
Source: RNAcentral